This 273-nucleotide long non-coding RNA is filed under the name Gossypium raimondii (Peruvian cotton). Its description in RNAcentral is "long non-coding RNA (GRAI_LNC006510)". The record is from RNAcentral. Lineage: Eukaryota; Viridiplantae; Streptophyta; Magnoliopsida; Malvales; Malvaceae.
UUUGUUUUCAAAUAGCAGAUUAGAUCUAGAUUAGGUUUUUAUUAUUUUUAUUUUAAUUAUUCAUACGACGCCGUUUAAAGGUGGCGGCCCGCGCGGUGACCCGACCCGGGGAGGAUCCGCGUGUUUCGUGAGGAUGGGUUAUUUGCGCACGCGGUCCUUCCGCGUUUCUAGCGCACUUAAAUCCAGUCUUUUUUUUUCUUUUUAAAUUUAGCCUCUCGAUUUUCUUUUGUUUCAUUUUAGUCCAAUGCAACGCUGCGUUUUGAUAGGGCAGGG